This 1463-nucleotide ribosomal RNA is filed under the name uncultured bacterium. RNAcentral's name for it is "bacterial SSU rRNA". It matches the Rfam family "Bacterial small subunit ribosomal RNA". The record is from RNAcentral.
UUGAACGCUGGCGGCAGGCCUAACACAUGCAAGUCGAACGGUAACAGGAAGCAGCUUGCUGCUUCGCUGACGAGUGGCGGACGGGUGAGUAAUGUCUGGGAAACUGCCUGAUGGAGGGGGAUAACUACUGGAAACGGUAGCUAAUACCGCAUAACGUCGCAAGACCAAAGAGGGGGACCUUAGGGCCUCUUGCCAUCGGAUGUGCCCAGAUGGGAUUAGCUAGUAGGUGGGGUAACGGCUCACCUAGGCGACGAUCCCUAGCUGGUCUGAGAGGAUGACCAGCCACACUGGAACUGAGACACGGUCCAGACUCCUACGGGAGGCAGCAGUGGGGAAUAUUGCACAAUGGGCGCAAGCCUGAUGCAGCCAUGCCGCGUGUAUGAAGAAGGCCUUCGGGUUGUAAAGUACUUUCAGCGGGGAGGAAGGGAGUAAAGUUAAUACCUUUGCUCAUUGACGUUACCCGCAGAAGAAGCACCGGCUAACUCCGUGCCAGCAGCCGCGGUGAUACGGAGGGUGCAAGCGUUAAUCGGAAUUACUGGGCGUAAAGCGCACGCAGGCGGUUUGUUAAGUCAGAUGUGAAAUCCCCGGGCUCAACCUGGGAACUGCAUCUGAUACUGGCAAGCUUGAGUCUCGUAGAGGGGGGUAGAAUUCCAGUGUAGCGGUGAAAUGCGUAGAGAUCUGGAGGAAUACCGGUGGCGAAAGCGGCCCCCUGGACGAAGACUGACGCUCAGGUGCGAAAGCGUGGGGAGCAAACAGGAUUAGAUACCCUGGUAGUCCACGCCGUAAACGAUGUCGACUUGGAGGUUGUGCCCCUGAGGCGUGGCUUCCGGAGCUAACGCGUUAAGUCGACCGCCUGGGGAGUACGGCCGCAAGGUUAAAACUCAAAUGAAUUGACGGGGGCCCGCACAAGCGGUGGAGCAUGUGGUUUAAUUCGAUGCAACGCGAAGAACCUUACCUGGUCUUGACAUCCACGGAAGUUUUCAGAGAUGAGAAUGUGCCUUCGGGAACCGUGAGACAGGUGCUGCAUGGCUGUCGUCAGCUCGUGUUGUGAAAUGUUGGGUUAAGUCCCGCAACGAGCGCAACCCUUAUCCUUUGUUGCCAGCGGUCCGGCCGGGAACUCAAAGGAGACUGCCAGUGAUAAACUGGAGGAAGGUGGGGAUGACGUCAAGUCAUCAUGGCCCUUACGACCAGGGCUACACACGUGCUACAAUGGCGCAUACAAAGAGAAGCGACCUCGCGAGAGCAAGCGGACCUCAUAAAGUGCGUCGUAGUCCGGAUUGGAGUCUGCAACUCGACUCCAUGAAGUCGGAAUCGCUAGUAAUCGUGGAUCAGAAUGCCACGGUGAAUACGUUCCCGGGCCUUGUACACACCGCCCGUCACACCAUGGGAGUGGGUUGCAAAAGAAGUAGGUAGCUUAACCUUCGGGAGGGCGCUUACCACUUUGUGAUUCAUGACUGGGGUGA